UGGGUCGGCAAGACGGUCGCGUUAUCCCUUCGGGGGUACCGAGGAACGUCCGGGCUCCACAGAGCAGGGCGGUGGGUAAUUCCCACCCGGGGUAACCCGCGAGAAAGUGCAACAGAAAGCAGACCGCCGGGACUUUUCGAGGUUUCGGUAAGGGUGAAACGGUGGUGUAAGAGACCACCAGCGGCCCGUGUGAUCGGGUCGGCUGGGUAAACCUCGCCCGGAGCAAGGUCGAACAGGGAGCGUUACGGGC
Molecule: RNase P RNA, 250 nt
Filed under: Microbacteriaceae bacterium
Lineage: Bacteria; Bacillati; Actinomycetota; Actinomycetes; Micrococcales; Microbacteriaceae
Description: partial RNase P RNA component class A
Rfam family: Bacterial RNase P class A
About the family: Ribonuclease P (RNase P) is a ubiquitous endoribonuclease, found in archaea, bacteria and eukarya as well as chloroplasts and mitochondria. Its best characterised activity is the generation of mature 5'-ends of tRNAs by cleaving the 5'-leader elements of precursor-tRNAs. Cellular RNase Ps are ribonucleoproteins.
Source: RNAcentral